RNAcentral lists this long non-coding RNA (517 nucleotides) under Diabrotica virgifera virgifera (western corn rootworm). Its description in RNAcentral is "uncharacterized LOC126886659". Lineage: Eukaryota; Metazoa; Arthropoda; Insecta; Coleoptera; Chrysomelidae. The record is from RNAcentral.
AUGCAUCUUGGCCUUGGCCACCUUGCCGUGCGUGAUCGUUGUUUGUUUUUAUUUGUGCUUUUUAAGAAUAUUUUUUAAUUCGGAUACUUUUAUAAUAACUUUAAUAGUAUUAUUAAUAUAGUGCAUAAAAUCAGUUGGAGUAGCAGAAGCAAUGUAGAUAAAAAAUCUGCAGGAAUAAUGUUUCAAAGCUUUCCAGAAGAUCCUGCAAAGAAGGCAUGAAGUAUUGAUCAGAUUUGUUAAUAGAGCAGUAUGUUCAAAACAUUUUUUAGAAAAAGAUAUUGACAGAACUUCACUUUCAACCGUUUGAGAGACUGUGCUGUUCCAAUAGCUUAUAUCACACAGAAUCAGCUGAGAGAAGUGGUCUACAAAAAACCAGGAAGGAAAUGGAAUAUGUGGCUAUGAAAGGCAAAAGAAAGGUUUACAAAGCAAAUGUGACACAUUUUUUUAUAGGAAUAUCAGUAAAUUACAUUAAAAAAAUGUAUGAAAAGAUUUUUUGCAAUAAAAAUGUUUAUAUUUA